RNAcentral lists this ribosomal RNA (506 nucleotides) under uncultured bacterium. Its description in RNAcentral is "bacterial SSU rRNA". It matches the Rfam family "Bacterial small subunit ribosomal RNA", at positions 29 to 531 of the family's 1533-position model. The record is from RNAcentral.
AUUAAACGCUGGCGGCAUGCCUUACACAUGCAAGUCGAACGGCAGCACGGGGCAACCUGGUGGCGAGUGGCGAACGGGUGAGUAAAGCAUCGGAACGUGCCCUGGAGUGGGGGAUAACGUAGCGAAAGUUACGCUAAUACCGCAUAUUCUGUGAGCAGGAAAGCAGGGGAUCGCAAGACCUUGCGCUCUGGGAGCGGCCGAUGUCGGAUUAGCUAGUUGGUGGGUAAAGGCCUACCAAGGCGACGAUCCGUAGCGGGUCUGAGAGGAUGAUCCGCCACACUGGGACUGAGACACGGCCCAGACUCCUACGGGAGGCAGCAGUGGGGAAUUUUGGACAAUGGGCGCAAGCCUGAUCCAGCCAUGCCGCGUGCGGGAAGAAGGCCUUCGGGUUGUAAACCGCUUUUGUCAGGGAAGAAAUACUUCUGGGUUAAUACCUCGGGAGGAUGACGGUACCUGAAGAAUAAGCACCGGCUAACUACGUGCCAGCAGCCGCGGUAAGGAGUACG